CCUACGGGGUGCACCAGUGGGGAAUAUUGCACAAUGGGCGCAAGCCUGAUGCAGCCAUGCCGCGUGUAUGAAGAAGGCCUUCGGGUCGUAAAGUACUUUCAGCGGGGAGGAAGGCGGUGAGGUUAAUAACCUCACCGAUUGACGUUACCCGCAGAAGAAGCACCGGCUAACACCGUGCCAGCAGCCGCGGUAAUACGGAGGGUGCAAGCGUUAAUCGGAAUUACUGGGCGUAAAGCGCACGCAGGCGGUCUGUCAAGUCGGAUGUGAAAUCCCCGGGCUCAACCUGGGAACUGCAUUCGAAACUGGCAGGCUAGAGUCUUCUAGAGGGGGGUAGAAUUCCAGGUGUAGCGGUGAAAUGCGUGGAGAUCUGGAGGAAUACCGGUGGCGAAGGCGGCCCCCAGGACAAAGACUGACGCUCAGGUGCGAAAGCGUGGGGAGCAAACAGGAUUAGAUACCCGAGUAGUC
RNAcentral lists this ribosomal RNA (465 nucleotides) under uncultured bacterium. Its description in RNAcentral is "bacterial SSU rRNA". It matches the Rfam family "Bacterial small subunit ribosomal RNA", at positions 338 to 795 of the family's 1533-position model. The record is from RNAcentral.